GGCCUUGUAGCUCAUUUGGCUAGAGCGUUGGCUGUACUAAAGCCUUCCCUUUGCUAGCGUGGGUUCGAAUCACACUGAGGCCA
RNAcentral lists this transfer RNA (83 nucleotides) under Schistocephalus solidus. It matches the Rfam family "tRNA". From Rfam's summary of the family: Transfer RNA (tRNA) molecules are approximately 80 nucleotides in length. Their secondary structure includes four short double-helical elements and three loops (D, anti-codon, and T loops). Lineage: Eukaryota; Metazoa; Platyhelminthes; Cestoda; Diphyllobothriidea; Diphyllobothriidae. The record is from Rfam by way of RNAcentral.